UUUUAAUGUAUGUUACAUCAGAACUUUUGACCGGGUAGACCGAUUUCGACAAAUUUUGUUUUAAUCGAAAGGUGGUGUGUGCCAAUUGGUCCCAUUUUAAUUUAUUUGAGAUCUAACAACUACUUUUUGAGUUAUAUCUAAUAAUGCGUUUUUACUUGACGCUUUUUUCGUCGACCUACGUUGUAUUAUACCACAUAACUUUCUACUAGAUGUACCGAUUUUGAUAAUUAUUUUUUUGUUGGAAAGAGGAUAUCCCUAGUUUGGUACCGAAACCAGGAUCUGAUGAAGGGAUCCCAGAGAAAUCGAGGGAAACUCUCGAAAAUCCG
This 326-nucleotide unclassified non-coding RNA is filed under the name Melitaea cinxia (Glanville fritillary). Its description in RNAcentral is "misc RNA ENSMCXG00005014525.1". Lineage: Eukaryota; Metazoa; Arthropoda; Insecta; Lepidoptera; Nymphalidae. The record is from RNAcentral.